Molecule: transfer RNA, 71 nt
Filed under: Scaptochirus moschatus (short-faced mole)
Lineage: Eukaryota; Metazoa; Chordata; Mammalia; Eulipotyphla; Talpidae
Description: tRNA-Phe
Rfam family: tRNA
About the family: Transfer RNA (tRNA) molecules are approximately 80 nucleotides in length. Their secondary structure includes four short double-helical elements and three loops (D, anti-codon, and T loops). Further hydrogen bonds mediate the characteristic L-shaped molecular structure. tRNAs have two regions of fundamental functional importance: the anti-codon, which is responsible for specific mRNA codon recognition, and the 3' end, to which the tRNAs corresponding amino acid is attached (by aminoacyl-tRNA synthetases). tRNAs cope with the degeneracy of the genetic code in two manners: having more than one tRNA (with a specific anti-codon) for a particular amino acid; and 'wobble' base-pairing, i.e. permitting non-standard base-pairing at the 3rd anti-codon position.
Source: RNAcentral
GUUCAUGUAGCUUAAACAACUUAAAGCAAGGCACUGAAAAUGCCUAGAUGGGUUUUACAACCCCAUAAACA